This 460-nucleotide ribosomal RNA is filed under the name uncultured bacterium. RNAcentral's name for it is "partial 16S ribosomal RNA". It matches the Rfam family "Bacterial small subunit ribosomal RNA", at positions 338 to 795 of the family's 1533-position model. The record is from RNAcentral.
CCUACGGGUGACAGCAGUGAGGAAUAUUGGUCAAUGGCCGGAAGGCUGAACCAGCCAUGCCGCGUGAAGGUCAGUGCCCUAUGGGCGUUAAACUUCUUUUGUGAGGGAGCAAUACUGGUCACGUGUGGCCAGACGAGAGUACCGUACGAAUAAGCAUAGGCUAACUCCGUGCCAGCAGCCGCGGUAAUACGGGGGAUGCUAGCGUUAUCCGGAUUAAUUGGGUUGAAAGGGUGCGUAGGCUGGGAGGUAAGUCAGCGGGGAAAUGCCCCCGCUCAACGGGGUGAAGUGCUAUUGAUACUGGCUUGCUGGAAUGCGGAUGCCGUAGGAGGAAUGUGUGGUGUAGCGGUGAAAUGCAUAGAUAUCACACAGAACACCGAUUGCGAAGGCAGCUCACGAGUCCGCGAUUGACGCUGAUGCACGAAAGCGUGGGUAGCAAACAGGAUUAGAUACCCGUGUAGUC